UAGGGAAUCUUCGGCAAUGGGGGGAACCCUGACCGAGCAACGCCGCGUGAGUGAAGAAGGUUUUCGGAUCGUAAAGCUCUGUUGUUAAGGAAGAACGAGUGUGAGAACGGAAAGUUCAUACUGUGACGGUACUUAACCAGAAAGGGACGGCUAACUACGUGCCAGCAGCCGCGGUAAUACGUAGGUCCCGAGCGUUGUCCGGAUUUAUUGGGCGUAAAGCGAGCGCAGGCGGUUAGAUAAGUCUGAAGUUAAAGGCAGUGGCUCAACCAUUGUAGGCUUUGGAAACUGUUUAACUUGAGUGCAGGAGGGGAGAGUGGAAUUCCAUGUGUAGCGGUAAAAUGCGUAGAUAUAUGGAGGAACGCCGGUGGCGAAGGCGGCUCUCUAGUCUGUGACUGACGCUAAGGCUCGAAAGCGUGGGGAGCGAACAGG
Molecule: ribosomal RNA, 429 nt
Filed under: Bacteroidota bacterium
Lineage: Bacteria; Pseudomonadati; Bacteroidota
Description: Bacteroidetes bacterium partial 16S ribosomal RNA
Rfam family: Bacterial small subunit ribosomal RNA
Source: RNAcentral